This 1166-nucleotide ribosomal RNA is filed under the name Enterococcus sp. RNAcentral's name for it is "bacterial SSU rRNA". It matches the Rfam family "Bacterial small subunit ribosomal RNA", at positions 145 to 1299 of the family's 1533-position model. The record is from RNAcentral. Lineage: Bacteria; Bacillati; Bacillota; Bacilli; Lactobacillales; Enterococcaceae.
AACACUUGGAAACAGGUGCUAAUACCGUAUAACACUAUUUUCCGCAUGGAAGAAAGUUGAAAGGCGCUUUUGCGUCACUGAUGGAUGGACCCGCGGUGCAUUAGCUAGUUGGUGAGGUAACGGCUCACCAAGGCAACGAUGCAUAGCCGACCUGAGAGGGUGAUCGGCCACACUGGGACUGAGACACGGCCCAGACUCCUACGGGAGGCAGCAGUAGGGAAUCUUCGGCAAUGGACGAAAGUCUGACCGAGCAACGCCGCGUGAGUGAAGAAGGUUUUCGGAUCGUAAAACUCUGUUGUUAGAGAAGAACAAGGAUGAGAGUAAAACGUUCAUCCCUUGACGGUAUCUAACCAGAAAGCCACGGCUAACUACGUGCCAGCAGCCGCGGUAAUACGUAGGUGGCAAGCGUUGUCCGGAUUUAUUGGGCGUAAAGCGAGCGCAGGCGGUUUCUUAAGUCUGAUGUGAAAGCCCCCGGCUCAACCGGGGAGGGUCAUUGGAAACUGGGAGACUUGAGUGCAGAAGAGGAGAGUGGAAUUCCAUGUGUAGCGGUGAAAUGCGUAGAUAUAUGGAGGAACACCAGUGGCGAAGGCGGCUCUCUGGUCUGUAACUGACGCUGAGGCUCGAAAGCGUGGGGAGCGAACAGGAUUAGAUACCCUGGUAGUCCACGCCGUAAACGAUGAGUGCUAAGUGUUGGAGGGUUUCCGCCCUUCAGUGCUGCAGCAAACGCAUUAAGCACUCCGCCUGGGGAGUACGACCGCAAGGUUGAAACUCAAAGGAAUUGACGGGGGCCCGCACAAGCGGUGGAGCAUGUGGUUUAAUUCGAAGCAACGCGAAGAACCUUACCAGGUCUUGACAUCCUUUGACCACUCUAGAGAUAGAGCUUCCCCUUCGGGGGCAAAGUGACAGGUGGUGCAUGGUUGUCGUCAGCUCGUGUCGUGAGAUGUUGGGUUAAGUCCCGCAACGAGCGCAACCCUUAUUGUUAGUUGCCAUCAUUUAGUUGGGCACUCUAGCGAGACUGCCGGUGACAAACCGGAGGAAGGUGGGGAUGACGUCAAAUCAUCAUGCCCCUUAUGACCUGGGCUACACACGUGCUACAAUGGGAAGUACAACGAGUUGCGAAGUCGCGAGGCUAAGCUAAUCUCUUAAAGCUUCUCUCAGUUCGGAUU